GCCUAUUUAUAUAAGCUCUUUUAUUGUCCCAUCAAACACUUGAAUCUGGUGAAUACUCCGACCAGAAGCUAGUACGGCCCAACAUCAUCAAUAAAGUAUUCAUGGUCCAUUUAUGGAUGGCGUGAACCAAAUACAAAUGCUUCAUU
This is a non-coding RNA of Caenorhabditis elegans, 146 nucleotides long. The record is from Ensembl. NCBI's taxonomy places the organism in Eukaryota, Metazoa, Nematoda, Chromadorea, Rhabditida, Rhabditidae.